Molecule: non-coding RNA, 293 nt
Organism: Otolemur garnettii (small-eared galago)
Lineage: Eukaryota; Metazoa; Chordata; Mammalia; Primates; Galagidae
Source: Rfam
GCUCACUGGUGCAUCUGUAGUCCUAGCUACAUGGGAGGCUGAGACAGGAGGAUUGCUUGAGUCCAGGAGUUCUGGGCUCUAACACGCUAUGCUGAUUGGGUGUCUGCCCUAAGUUCGGCACCAAUAUGGUGACCUCCUGGGAGUGGGGGGCCACAAGGUUGCCUAAGGAGGGGUGAACAGGCCCAGAUCAGAAACAGAGCUGGUCAAAAAUCCCAUGCUGAUCAGUAUUGGGAUUGCACCUGUGAACAGCCACUGCACUUCAGCCUGGGCAGCAUAGUGAGACCCCAUCUCUA